Microbacterium hydrocarbonoxydans is the source of this 101-nucleotide regulatory RNA element. It matches the Rfam family "TPP riboswitch aptamer (THI element)". From Rfam's summary of the family: Vitamin B(1) in its active form thiamin pyrophosphate (TPP) is an essential coenzyme that is synthesised by coupling of pyrimidine and thiazole moieties in bacteria. The record is from Rfam. NCBI's taxonomy places the organism in Bacteria, Bacillati, Actinomycetota, Actinomycetes, Micrococcales, Microbacteriaceae.
AGAGGGGUCCGCGGGAGCCCAGAGGGGCUGAGAGGGCCACGUGCCGACCGCUGAACCUGAAACGGAUAAUGCCGUCGUAGGAAAGGGCACGCAUGCGCAUC